Molecule: ribosomal RNA, 465 nt
Filed under: Vreelandella stevensii
Lineage: Bacteria; Pseudomonadati; Pseudomonadota; Gammaproteobacteria; Oceanospirillales; Halomonadaceae
Description: partial 16S ribosomal RNA
Rfam family: Bacterial small subunit ribosomal RNA
Source: RNAcentral
CCUACGGGAGGCAGCAGUGGGGAAUAUUGGACAAUGGGGGCAACCCUGAUCCAGCCAUGCCGCGUGUGUGAAGAAGGCCCUCGGGUUGUAAAGCACUUUCAGUGAGGAAGAACGCCUGGUGGUUAAUACCCAUCAGGAAAGACAUCACUCACAGAAGAAGCACCGGCUAACUCCGUGCCAGCAGCCGCGGUAAUACGGAGGGUGCGAGCGUUAAUCGGAAUUACUGGGCGUAAAGCGCGCGUAGGUGGCUUGAUAAGCCGGUUGUGAAAGCCCCGGGCUCAACCUGGGAACGGCAUCCGGAACUGUCAAGCUAGAGUGCAGGAGAGGAAGGUAGAAUUCCCGGUGUAGCGGUGAAAUGCGUAGAGAUCGGGAGGAAUACCAGUGGCGAGGGCGGCCUUCUGGACUGACACUGACACUGAGGUGCGAAAGCGUGGGUAGCAAACAGGAUUAGAUACCCUAGUAGUC